CCUACGGGAGGCAGCAGUGGGGGAUAUUGCACAAUGGGGGAAACCCUGAUGCAGCAACGCCGCGUGGGUGAAGGAGCGUUUCGGCGCGUAAAGCCCUGUCAGCGGGGAAGAAGAAAGACGUUACCCGACCAAGAAGCCCCGGCUAACUCCGUGCCAGCAGCCGCGGUAAUACGUAGGGGGCGAGCGUUAUCCGGAAUUAUUGGGUUUAAAGGGUGCGUAGGCGGGGUAUCAAGUCAGCGGUAAAAUCGUGGAGCUAAACUCCAUCCAGCCGUUGAAACUGAUUGUCUUGAGUGGGCGAGAAGUAUGCGGAAUGCGGGGUGUAGCGGUGAAAUGCAUAGAUAUCACGAAGAAAUCCGAUUGCGAAGGCAGCAUACCGGAGCCCGACGGACGCUGAAGCACGAAAGCGUGGGUAUCGAACAGGAUUAGAUACCCGAGUAGUC
This 440-nucleotide ribosomal RNA is filed under the name uncultured bacterium. RNAcentral's name for it is "partial 16S ribosomal RNA". It matches the Rfam family "Bacterial small subunit ribosomal RNA", at positions 338 to 795 of the family's 1533-position model. The record is from RNAcentral.